RNAcentral lists this long non-coding RNA (1387 nucleotides) under Canis lupus dingo (dingo). RNAcentral's name for it is "lncRNA (ENSCAFG00020024061.1)". The record is from RNAcentral. Lineage: Eukaryota; Metazoa; Chordata; Mammalia; Carnivora; Canidae.
GUACUAGUUGUGUGUAGAGGAGGGGGGAGUCCAGACAAUGCAGAGAUCACAUGGCCUGGAGAAACCCUGGUACCAUCCUCAGAAAAGAUAAAUCCAGGUCCCAGCUGCUCUGCCAGGGUCUUGGGGGCCCUUCUCAGCACCUUUGGCCUGGGCCUGGGCCCAGCACAGUUCUGGAGGCUUCUCUCUGCCUUUCAUAGACAGCAUUCAGAGCCCGAUCAAGCAACUCCAGCGACCUAUCCACAUCCUGGAGGGGACUCUCUUGGAGCAUUGGAGGGGACGGCAUCUUGGACACCCACACCACACUGCCCAGUAAGUAGCAACAUUGAAGUGCCAUUGCUACAGCUGGGCCAGGGCCUCCCCCAACCCCGAGCAAGGGCUGAGAAGUGAUCUGCAGCGAGGGAAGUCAGCCAGCCCUGAAAAGACCCAGAAUCAGCCUACCCCACCCCUGAGCCCCAAGGCCCCCUUCCCCUCUCACCUUUGCUGUCUGCUUCACCCUUUUAAAAGACAUUUUGAAGAAGUUCAACCCUCACAUCCUCGGGUUCUCCACCGGUACCCUAGAGGAGACAGCAGGGCUGAAUGUAGCCAUGGAAGGAGCCAGAGCUAGGUGAGUAGCUGUGGGUACAGGAGGGGGCAGAGGAGAGCCUGAGAGAUCAGGGUGGGGAAUGGGAGGAGGAGAGAAGGGUGCUGUCUGGGAGCCUGGGCCCAGAUGGGCCAUGAAAGUGGCUGUGCACAGAGCCCUGCUGCGUGCCCGACCCCUCACGUGGGUUACCUCCCGGAAUCCUCACACCUUUGAGGGGGUUACCAGCAGGAAGACACUGAGACUUAGAAGGUUUCCCAAAUGGCCCAAAUGACAGGCCCCCUGGGCUGUCACCCCGGCAGCAGGAGCACCUGCUGACUCCAGCCAACCUCCUGGCCCCAGGGAGGCUGGGAACCAGUGUGCAGCCUGCUGAGAACUCACAGCCCGGCCCCAUGGACAGCCACCCUCCCUCUCUCCACCCUCACCUCGGAACCUAGAGUCCUUGAGUCUGAGAGAGCUGUAUUUUGACACUGGGGGGUUAGAUGUUAAGGCCCCCAGAACAGCAUGGUGGCUGUUUGUUUUCACUCCGAUUUCUGUUGUUGACAACAACCCAGAUAAUUAACGCUGGAAUGCCUGACAGAGUUCAUUGAUUUUUCUGCACAGAGUGUGCUGGGUAUUUGCUUUGUAGAAGGAUUGCUGCGCUCAGAUCACCAGGGAAACGACACUGGCUUGACUCAUUCUGUUUACACGGAGCGUUCCUUUCCGACGUGGUAAGGAGGGCCCCACGCUCCGAGUGAGUCUCUGAGCCACAGGAAGCCGGGGCAGUUCCUCAACGUCAGAAGCAGGAAGAACUUAUUUUUCUGCAAAAGA